This 699-nucleotide long non-coding RNA is filed under the name Equus caballus (horse). RNAcentral describes it as "lncRNA (ENSECAG00000051423.1)". The record is from RNAcentral. Lineage: Eukaryota; Metazoa; Chordata; Mammalia; Perissodactyla; Equidae.
AAAAAAACCUUACAGGCAUGUGUUUUAACUUUGCAGCUGCCUGAGGCCGUGGACAACAGCUGGGGCAAACAAGAGACGAACCAAAAAGCUUAGAAGGAGAAGCUAGGGCAUGAGAUGUGCGCAGGGACUUUGAAAAGCUCUGAGGUGUUCCUGAGACUCUGGAAGGCCACACACAUGCCAGGGCUGUGCACGUGCUCAGGAAAGACCUGAGAAGGCCUGAGGCCUCACCUCUGACUGACCUUGAGGCUCUGCACAAGCAGGAAGAUUGGUGGCAGUGGUGUGACUGAAAGAGACUUCCGGUGGCAUUUGGGGACAAUGAGAAACACAGUGGUGGUACCUGCAAACUCCCUUCUGAAUUCACUGUCUUUCUCACCAUUUCUGAGGGCUGUGGAUUGUUCCUGCAUAGACGAGACCCACCCGCGCUCAAACACCCAGCCAGAGAAGCCACAAGACAAUCUCCGUUGUCCUUGGAAGAAAGCCCGCCCUACCCACUAGGAGGGAGGGAGCCUCUCCUCCCGCAGCUGUGUUUACCCACAGCGCACGCCGCCCCUCGGGGAACACGCUGGAUCAAGGCGGACCUCGGGGACGCCAGGCUGCAGGGGUCAACGAGGAACUGUCAAGUUAGGUUCGCCUGUGGAUUUUAUAAUAAAUACCCCCUCCCCCAUUUUAGGCAUCAACAUAGAACGCCUUUUGAUUUCC